GCAACCCCUUCUUGGUUUUCAACCUUUGACAUGAGAAGGAUAUUCUUAGCAUUUUUCCCGAGCAACUUCCGUACUUCAACGAGAUCUGAUCCUUUUCGUACAAAAGAUAGAGCAAUCAUGUCAAUUUGAUUGGGAACUCCCCACUUCAAAAUAUCUUCCUUGUCUUUCUCUGUCAAAGUUGGAAGAUCCACUAUCACUCCAGGAAGAUUAACAUUUUUCCUCUCACCAAGAACUGCAGAGUUCUCACAACGACAUCGAACCAAACCCGCUUUAAUGUCACAUGAUAGAACUGUAAAUGAGAUUGUGCCGUCUGCGCAAAGUAUAACCAUCCCAGGCUUGACAUC
Molecule: unclassified non-coding RNA, 344 nt
Filed under: Hevea brasiliensis (rubber tree)
Lineage: Eukaryota; Viridiplantae; Streptophyta; Magnoliopsida; Malpighiales; Euphorbiaceae
Source: RNAcentral